GUAGGUGGCAAGCGUUGUCCGGAAUUAUUGGGCGUAAAGCGCGCGCAGGCGGUUCUUUAAGCCUGAUGUGAAAGCCCACGGCUCAGCCGUGGAGGGUCAUUGGAAACUGGAGAACUUGAGUACAGAGGAGGAAAGCGGAAUUCCACGUGUAGCGGUGAAAUGCGUAGAGAUGUGGAGGAACACCAGUGGCGAAGGCGGCUUUCUGGUCUGUAACUGACGCUGAGGCGCGAAAGCGUGGGGGAGCAAACAGGAUUAGAUACCCUGGUAGUCCACGCCGUAAACGAUGAGUGCUAAGUGUUAGGGGGUUUCCGCCCCUUAGUGCUGCAGCUAACGCAUUAAGCACUCCGCCCUGGGAGUACGGCCGCAAGGCUG
Molecule: ribosomal RNA, 372 nt
Filed under: uncultured organism
Description: partial 16S ribosomal RNA
Rfam family: Bacterial small subunit ribosomal RNA
Source: RNAcentral